Molecule: long non-coding RNA, 101 nt
Organism: Artibeus jamaicensis (Jamaican fruit-eating bat)
Lineage: Eukaryota; Metazoa; Chordata; Mammalia; Chiroptera; Phyllostomidae
Exons: 3
Source: RefSeq, a predicted model, not a curated record
CUGACCUGGCAGGGGCCCCGCCCAUUCACUGGUCACCAUGGGCACUGGAAGGAUGGCCACCCAGCCGCUGACCACUAAAGCCCUGAGAGAAGAGAAUGGAG